Crenichthys baileyi (White River springfish) is the source of this 89-nucleotide non-coding RNA. The record is from the annotation of a GenBank genome assembly. Lineage: Eukaryota; Metazoa; Chordata; Actinopteri; Cyprinodontiformes; Goodeidae.
GAGUGGCUCAGUGGUAGAGCAGGUCCACCAUAUGAGGAGGCUAUAGUCCUGGAUGCAGAUAUCCUGGGUUCAGUUCCCAGUCAUGUACA